UCUUUAUCAAAGAACAUCUUUGUGAUCAGAUUAAUCAACAAUUGAUGGGUGAGGAAGCUAAGACUCAGAGAAGAUAGGUAGAGACCUUUCAAGUCUCUGAUAUAGAACCAGAGCUAAAAAAUGACGUGCUCCAUGGCCUCCAGGUCCCAGGAAAGGGCUGUAUUACUGCAGCACUGACUUUAAGUCCUUUACCACAGCCAUCACUCAGGUGAGGAAACUGACAACUCAAAGAAGAUACUAACUUUCCCGCCCACCGCCUCUCCUCCAAGCUGGCAGGCUCCCGAGAGGCCAGGGCCAUAUCAGUUUCAAAGAUCGCUGUCAGGGUGCGAGCAACUGAAGUUGAAAUGGCCGGAAAGCGGAAACUUUUCUUCAGAGUUGUACAGUCGGUGGAAUAUUCAUAGAAGUGUAAUGUGACACAGGAUGCCGAGUCGGUGUCGAAACUUUGUUCCAAACCAUAUUUGCUAUUUGUAAAACUGGUCCCUCAGGGGCCAGCUACGGAUAAGGGUGAGGGUCAGAAGGAAUGGCCAUCUGGAGACAAACGGGCUGAGUCAGUGGUACCCAUUGAAGGCUUGGGCAGCUCUGCCUGACGACGUAUGGGGAGAGGCACCUGUGAGAAAGGGAAAGGGGCCUUGACCUAGAGAUUUGUUACUGAGAGAAGGCCACCGGAAAUAGACAAGCAGGGUCGGCAAUUCAUGAGGCGACAGGAGCUGAGUUCUGGGCUGUCAUGGAUGCCCGUGCUGACUUGGACAGUGCAGCCCCAGGGAGCCCCUGAGAGUCAUACCUGGACCCUGCAGGACGCCGAGCUCAAGGCCAUCUCGCACUCAGAUGACGGGGAAGUCGUGCCUCCUUGGCAAGCAGGACCCUGUGAACAGAAACAGAACAUCCUUCAUAAUAGAAUCCGACCCAGUUUUUGGCUGAUGGGACAUCCAAAAGGACAUAGGUGCCUUUGUUUGGUUUGUGCUGACAUCAAGAGAGCAAACUGAACCCAGGCCUUCAGUGGAUUGGAUGGUGCCCACCGCAGUGGUGAGGGUGAUCUUCUUUACUCCAUCCACCCAUCCAAAUGCUGAUCUCCUCCAGAAAUACCCUCACAGACAUGCCCAGAAAUAAUGUUUCACCAGCUGCCUGGGCAUUCCUUAGCCCAGUCGAGCUGACAUGUAAAAUCAACCGUCACAAAUAACUGCGUUUGAAGGGUAAAAGCCCCAUGUCUCCUCGGCCAGUGGGUGUUUAUCAGAGGACAGUGGAAAAGAGGGACAAAAAUGCCUGGAUAUAACAUUAAGAGUUGGCAGGACCCGGCCUCUAAAAGGAAGUGUUAAAACAAUGUUUUUGACAUCAAGGCUCUUCUCAAAGUUGAUAAAGGAGAGCUUGCGGAAAAGCUCAUGUGCUGUCUCUUCAGUGGAGAGUUCAAUCCAGGAAUAAGAUGUGAUUAAGAAUCUUGAGAUGGAGAGUUACCUUGGAUUAUCUGGGCGAAGCACUGCCCGUUUCUUCAACUCUGGAGCUGUGGAGGAGUAUUUUUUUGGGACUGGAGGCCACACCCAUCCCUUCUCUGGGCGUGUUAUCUCCCUCUGUCUCAUGGGGAAACUCACACCAUGCACUGGAGCUUCAGCAGGAAGCACUGAUUUGGCUUCUGUUCCUGGUCCAAUCCAAGUCCCAGCAUCGUCGGCGAGAGGAAGAGCCGUUGCCAUGGACUAAAAGGCCAGUGUGCACGGGCAUCCCCUCCACCACCUCUCACGGACGGAGCGGCCCCGCAAGGCAGACAUCACAGCCUUCAGUUUACAGUUCAAACAGUUAACCUGUUGAUAGUGGUGAACAUCACCUUCUUCCUCAUGGCGUCACACCAGCAGAUCCCCUCACAGCCCCCCAGGAAAGGGUUCUCACGACAGCUGCUUUCACUGUGCUGCUCAGAAGGGACGCACUUCAGUGAGCUCCCCGCGCCCCCAGGCAUUAUGCCGAAAUCGUAUUUCCAGGGGGCAGAGGGCCUGUGGACCAGGACGGUGGGGAUCUCAGCCCUUGCCCACUGCCCACGUUAGAACCUUCAUUAAUCUGUGAGUUCUUUGCCCCCUCACCUUUACCCAAAGAAUAAUGCCUCCCCCAGAAUUACACAAAAAUCAAUGGCAAAGUUAAUUGAAAUCUGGAUCUCUUAAUGUUUUUCUCUUUCUUAAGUGAUUGCUUGGUUUCCAAAGAGUGAGGUUGAACUCAAAGGAUGGCUUUAAUUGAGCAGGAGUGAAUUGGUAAGAGAGAGAAAGCAGAGGUAGAUAAUUUUCCAAGUGACUGAAAGAUAGGGUUUUUUCUUUUUUCUGAAAAAUAAUGUAUUUUGAACUUAAGGAAAAUAAU
Molecule: long non-coding RNA, 2331 nt
Organism: Eubalaena glacialis (North Atlantic right whale)
Lineage: Eukaryota; Metazoa; Chordata; Mammalia; Artiodactyla; Balaenidae
Exons: 15
Source: RefSeq, a predicted model, not a curated record